UCCAGAGUUUGAUCAUGGCUCAGAUUGAACGCUGGCGGCAGGCCUAACACAUGCAAGUCGAACGGUAGCACAGAGAGCUUGCUCUCGGGUGACGAGUGGCGGACGGGUGAGUAAUGUCUGGGAAACUGCCUGAUGGAGGGGGAUAACUACUGGAAACGGUAGCUAAUACCGCAUAACGUCGCAAGACCAAAGAGGGGGACCUUCGGGCCUCUUGCCAUCAGAUGUGCCCAGAUGGGAUUAGCUAGUAGGUGGGGUAACGGCUCACCU
Molecule: ribosomal RNA, 267 nt
Filed under: Pantoea sp. idli_21
Lineage: Bacteria; Pseudomonadati; Pseudomonadota; Gammaproteobacteria; Enterobacterales; Erwiniaceae
Description: partial 16S ribosomal RNA
Rfam family: Bacterial small subunit ribosomal RNA
Source: RNAcentral